CGACAAGGAGAGCACGAGGAGGCUCCACCCACCACUACGCCUCCCGCUUCACUCACAUGCGCAGCACUCGCAGAAACCGCCCCACUCGAGAGCGGGCGACUGCGCAAAAGACGAGAGGUGGGCAAAAAGACUGCGACUGUGGGUGCCGAGGUGGGAGUCAUGUCACCAGCCACAGGCUUAAUCGCCCGCUCCAUUGUCUUGAGCAUUUGACUCUAUCUCUCACGCGUUGCUUCCUUUGUUCG
Long non-coding RNA from Musa acuminata AAA Group (dessert banana), 242 nucleotides. RefSeq lists it as uncharacterized. The record is from RefSeq and is a predicted model, not a curated record. Lineage: Eukaryota; Viridiplantae; Streptophyta; Magnoliopsida; Zingiberales; Musaceae. The transcript is spliced from 2 exons.